GAAGUUAUAGCUCAGUGGUAGAGUGUGUGCUUAGCAUUCAUGAAGUCCUUGGUUCAGUUCCCAGUACCUCCA
Molecule: transfer RNA, 72 nt
Filed under: Camelus bactrianus (Bactrian camel)
Lineage: Eukaryota; Metazoa; Chordata; Mammalia; Artiodactyla; Camelidae
Also listed under: 1 other name
Rfam family: tRNA
About the family: Transfer RNA (tRNA) molecules are approximately 80 nucleotides in length. Their secondary structure includes four short double-helical elements and three loops (D, anti-codon, and T loops). Further hydrogen bonds mediate the characteristic L-shaped molecular structure. tRNAs have two regions of fundamental functional importance: the anti-codon, which is responsible for specific mRNA codon recognition, and the 3' end, to which the tRNAs corresponding amino acid is attached (by aminoacyl-tRNA synthetases). tRNAs cope with the degeneracy of the genetic code in two manners: having more than one tRNA (with a specific anti-codon) for a particular amino acid; and 'wobble' base-pairing, i.e. permitting non-standard base-pairing at the 3rd anti-codon position.
Source: Rfam by way of RNAcentral